Molecule: non-coding RNA, 597 nt
Organism: Oryctolagus cuniculus (rabbit)
Lineage: Eukaryota; Metazoa; Chordata; Mammalia; Lagomorpha; Leporidae
Source: RefSeq, a predicted model, not a curated record
UGAUUCAUUUUCAAUUAUCUGCAUAUACAGAAGAUCAACUUAGUAUAUACUUAGUAAAGAUUUCAACAGACUGCACUCACACAGACCCACAAAGUAUAGAGUACUGUUUGAGUAGUAGUUUACCAUUAAUUCACAUAACACAUUAAUGACAGGGGUCCUACAUGGGGAGCAAGUUCACAGUGACUCCCAUUGUUGAUUUAACAAUUGACACUCUUAUUUAUGACAUCAGUAAUCACCCAAGGCACUUGUUAUGAGCCACCAGGGCUAUAGAAGCCUCUUGAGUUUGCCAACUCCGAUCUUAUUUAGACAAGGCCAUAGUCAAAGUGGAAGUUCUCUCCUCCCUUCAGAGAAAGGUGGGAGUCUGGAAGCCCAAGAUCAAGGUGUCAGCAGAUCUGGUUUCUCCAGAGGCCUCUCCUUGGAUUGCAGAUGACCACCUUCCACAGGCUUUUGCUUGCUUGUUGACAACCACUGCACACAUGAAGCAUUACUCUGAACUACUGAGGGACAAUAACAAAGUACAUAUAGAUCUCUCUCCAAUUCAACAAACCCUCUGUGCCACCCAGAAGGCAAAGAGAUUUACAUGUCAAAUAUAUAAGC